GGGUCAGUAGGUUGGUCGUGCCACCGGUACGUACUGGUCUCACUGAUUCCUUCUUCCUGAAGAACCGUAAUGCCAUUAAUUUGGUGUUGCGGGAAAACAGGACUGUUACUUUGAAAAAAUUAGAGUGUUUAAAGCAAGCUAACGCUUGAAUACAUUAGCAUGGAAUAAUGAAAUAGGACGAUCGAUCCUAUUUUGUUGGUUUCUAGGAUUGACGUA
This 216-nucleotide ribosomal RNA is filed under the name Glomeromycotina sp. RNAcentral's name for it is "partial small subunit ribosomal RNA". The stretch from base 40 to 216 matches the Rfam family "Eukaryotic small subunit ribosomal RNA", at positions 686 to 864 of the family's 1831-position model. Lineage: Eukaryota; Fungi; Glomeromycota. The record is from RNAcentral.